CCUGGAAACACUGUUUCUCGUUCGAUCACCGAAGUAAAGAAACAUCGAGGUUAGUCAGUACUUAGAUGGUGGACAACCUGGGAAUACCAGAUAUUGUA
This is a non-coding RNA of Acanthosepion pharaonis, 98 nucleotides long. The record is from the annotation of a GenBank genome assembly. Lineage: Eukaryota; Metazoa; Mollusca; Cephalopoda; Sepiida; Sepiidae.